This 292-nucleotide ribosomal RNA is filed under the name uncultured Bacteroidota bacterium. RNAcentral's name for it is "uncultured Bacteroidetes bacterium partial 16S ribosomal RNA". Lineage: Bacteria; Pseudomonadati; Bacteroidota. The record is from RNAcentral.
GGACUACAGGGGUAUCUAAUCCUGUUUGAUCCCCGCACUUUCGUGCCUCAGCGUCAGUUACAGUUUAGUAAGCUGCCUUCGCAAUCGGUGUUCUUGACAAUAUCUAUGCAUUUCACCGCUACACUGUCAAUUCCGCCUACCUCAUAUGUACUCAAGCCAUUCAGUAUCAAUGGCAGUUCGAUCGUUAAGCGAUCGGCUUUCACCACUGACUUAAAUAGCCGCCUACGCACCCUUUAAACCCAAUAAAUCCGGACAACGCUUGCCACCUACGUAUUACCGCGGCUGCUGGCAC